AACGAACGCUGGCGGCAUGCCUAACACAUGCAAGUCGAACGAGACCUUCGUGCCUAUUGGAGCACGGGUGCGUAACGCGUGGUAACUUGCCCUUAGGUUCGGAAUACCUCCCCGAAAGGGGUGUUAAUACCGGAUAAUGUCUUCGGACCAACGAUUUAUCGCCUUUGGAUGGGCCCGCGUUGGUUUAGCUGGUUGGUAGGGUAAAAGCGUGCCAAGGCGACGAUGCAUAGCUGGUGUGAUAGCAGGAUCAACCCGACUGGGACUGAGACCCGGCCCAGACUCCUACGGGACGCAGCAGUGGGGAAUAUUGGGCACGGGGCGAAAGCCUGAUACAGCCAUGCCGCGGAUGUGAUGAAGGGCUUUGGGUUGUAAAGCUCUUUUACCCGGGAUGAUAAUGACAGUACCGGGAGAAUAAGCUCCGGCUAACUCCGUG
Molecule: ribosomal RNA, 433 nt
Filed under: uncultured bacterium
Lineage: Bacteria
Description: partial 16S ribosomal RNA
Rfam family: Bacterial small subunit ribosomal RNA
Source: RNAcentral